Molecule: non-coding RNA, 75 nt
Filed under: Florenciella parvula
Lineage: Eukaryota; Dictyochophyceae; Florenciellales
Source: RNAcentral
GUUUUUUUUUUUUUUUUUUUUUUUUUUUUUUUUUUUGGCACUGCUUGGCCUACAUAAACAAGAUCAAGACCUGAG